GCUCGGGUGGCGGAAUUGGUAGACGCAGUCGACUUAAGAUCGGCCGCCGAAAGGCAUGAGAGUUCGAUUCUCUCCCCGAGCA
RNAcentral lists this transfer RNA (82 nucleotides) under bacterium. RNAcentral describes it as "tRNA-Leu". It matches the Rfam family "tRNA". From Rfam's summary of the family: Transfer RNA (tRNA) molecules are approximately 80 nucleotides in length. Their secondary structure includes four short double-helical elements and three loops (D, anti-codon, and T loops). Further hydrogen bonds mediate the characteristic L-shaped molecular structure. tRNAs have two regions of fundamental functional importance: the anti-codon, which is responsible for specific mRNA codon recognition, and the 3' end, to which the tRNAs corresponding amino acid is attached (by aminoacyl-tRNA synthetases). tRNAs cope with the degeneracy of the genetic code in two manners: having more than one tRNA (with a specific anti-codon) for a particular amino acid; and 'wobble' base-pairing, i.e. permitting non-standard base-pairing at the 3rd anti-codon position. The record is from RNAcentral.